AUGUCACAAAACAGGUGACAUCCGAAAGUCUUGCCAGAUACUAAGAUCGUGCUCAAGCAGAUGAGGAAGAAGGGCAUUCCCAGCAGAAGCAGCAGUUUGUAUGAAAGCAUGUGUCACGUUUGGCUGCAGGAGCAUGGUGGUCAGGGGGACUGGAGAAAGAGGAAGCUAGAGAGGUGGUCGGGGUAGACCACAAAGAGCAUUGAAGCCUCUGCCAGGCAAUUGGACUUUAUCCUGUUAGGACUGGGAAGCAGUGAAAAGGAUUUUAAGCAGAGGAAUUACAUGAACGGAUUUAUCCUUCAAAAAGGUCACCUUAGGAGAGGUGUGGAAGAGAGACUAGAGGGCUGAAAAUGGAGGCAGAGAAACCUCCUGGCCAGGUGGUGAGUGGCAGAAGUCCUGGUGGGAGUGGGUGGUGUUUAAACAAAGACCUGAAUUAAAACUGAAGGCAAGAGGAGGAGGGGAAAAAUCAAGAAAUGUUAAGAAAGUAGAAUGUGUAGAACUUGGUGAUUUGUUUGAAAGUGUUGGGAGUUGUUGUUAAAUGAUGGUCUCAGAGAUCAUGGAAUAUUUGUCUGGUUUAGCUAAAUAAAUGUUAAAACUAGAAGCCUGUUUCUCAAAUUGGGGUCGCUGUGUCCCCUUAGAGGUCUCAUGCAAACUCUGAGUUGUUUAUGCUGCCUUAUGAGCUGGAUGUAUCUUAGGUUUCAAACAAGUUAUGAUUGCAGCACUACUCAGGUCUUACAAUAAGCCAGACAAGCAAUUCUUUAUUAAAAAUCAUUUGCUACUCCUGCCACCCACCACCCCAAGAUCUUUUUCCUGGCCAUUAUGUGCCUUAUCUCUCUCUACUAGUCAUAAAAUUUGUUGGCCACCCACUGUGUAUUUAUCUCAUCUCCUACCUCUACCCAUCAUCUGCCUUAAAUGAUGUACAGUAGGAUUUGGGUUGAGGUGCUGCUCUGGAGUUAUGGCCUGCUGUUAGUAGUCUUGAUAGCUAAAACUAACAUGCUUUUUUCUUGUAAGAUUUCAGAUUGAAUAUAGUGGUUGAGAGCCGAUAUCAUCCCCUCCCUCCUCCUUUGAGCUCAACACACAUUAAUCAAAUACCACAAUUUUUCAGGUUCUGUAUUAGGCUCCAGGGAUACAAGGGUGAACAGACAAUUCCCAUCCUCAUGAAAUGUGCAAUUGUGUGGAAAUACAUGUGAACAAAUUCAAUCCACUGUGAUGGAAGCCCCAAUGGGAGUGUGUAGAAGGUCAGAAGAGGUACACAGAAAGGACAACAAGGAAGGCUUCACAGAGGUGGUGACAUCUCACUAGGAUUUUGAAGGGAAUAAGAAUGGGGAGAAUCAGAAGAUCAGCACGGUUUGCACAGAGGAACUACAGCAGAGGUGUUGUGGGGGGACAUGGUGGUAGAUGAAAUUGAAGAUGUAGGCAGGAGUUUGAUCAUGUAAGAGCUUGGCCUUUGUCGUGGGAACAUCAGGGGCCAUUGAGGGACUUCAGGUAACAGAAUGCCACAGAUCCACAAUUUUAGCAGGAUCACCCUAGUAUGAAAGACAAACUUGAAAAGGGUUUGCAGAUGCUGGCAGGUUCAUGUCACCACUGCGGAUUCAUUGAGGGCAGAGACAGAGUCCUAUUUAUCUCUGUACCCCUAAAGUUUAGUGCUUUAUAGACAUUUAAGAAUUUUUUUUUUCAGAGUGAAGACAGCCCAAGUUGAAUUUUCCCAUUCUGUAUCCUAUCCUCAGAACAUGCUGACCUGGACUUCCAUCUGUCACAAGCAGCUUGACUAAGAUCCUAGGAAAUUCCUUUUUUUCUUGGCAUUCUUCUAACUGACACUCUCUGUUUACUGGGCCCUCUGUGCAGCUGUAACGUGUGAUGAUUGAUGCUUAUAAUUCUGACCUUGAAGUACUUCAUGGCUUCUAAAUCAUCAAAAAAAGAUUAAAGCAUAUUCUCAGUAUCACUGUAAUGUUUGUGUGUUUUACUGCCUUCUUCUCUGGAAAGUGGUGGUUUAUGAAGUGCCCGUGCGCUUGUGUGCACACGGACACAGUGAGAGUCUGUGAU
Molecule: long non-coding RNA, 2040 nt
Filed under: Pan troglodytes (chimpanzee)
Lineage: Eukaryota; Metazoa; Chordata; Mammalia; Primates; Hominidae
Description: long non-coding RNA NONPTRT013275
Source: RNAcentral